AAAUUGAAGAGUUUGAUCAUGGCUCAGAUUGAACGCUGGCGGCAGGCCUAACACAUGCAAGUCGAACGGUAACAGGAAGCAGCUUGCUGCUUCGCUGACGAGUGGCGGACGGGUGAGUAAUGUCUGGGAAACUGCCUGAUGGAGGGGGAUAACUACUGGAAACGGUGGCUAAUACCGCAUAACGUCGCAAGACCAAAGAGGGGGACCUUCGGGCCUCUUGCCAUCAGAUGUGCCCAGAUGGGAUUAGCUUGUUGGUGAGGUAACGGCUCACCAAGGCGACGAUCCCUAGCUGGUCUGAGAGGAUGACCAGCCACACUGGAACUGAGACACGGUCCAGACUCCUACGGGAGGCAGCAGUGGGGAAUAUUGCACAAUGGGCGCAAGCCUGAUGCAGCCAUGCCGCGUGUAUGAAGAAGGCCUUCGGGUUGUAAAGUACUUUCAGCGGGGAGGAAGGUGUUGUGGUUAAUAACCGCAGCAAUUGACGUUACCCGCAGAAGAAGCA
Molecule: ribosomal RNA, 502 nt
Filed under: Salmonella enterica
Lineage: Bacteria; Pseudomonadati; Pseudomonadota; Gammaproteobacteria; Enterobacterales; Enterobacteriaceae
Also listed under: 3 other names
Description: bacterial SSU rRNA
Rfam family: Bacterial small subunit ribosomal RNA
Source: RNAcentral